GAUGAACGCUGGCGGCGUGCCUAAUACAUGCAAGUCGAGCGAACAGACGAGGAGCUUGCUCCUCUGACGUUAGCGGCGGACGGGUGAGUAACACGUGGAUAACCUACCUAUAAGACUGGGAUAACUUCGGGAAACCGGAGCUAAUACCGGAUAAUAUAUUGAACCGCAUGGUUCAAUAGUGAAAGACGGUUUUGCUGUCACUUAUAGAUGGAUCCGCGCCGCAUUAGCUAGUUGGUAAGGUAACGGCUUACCAAGGCAACGAUGCGUAGCCGACCUGAGAGGGUGAUCGGCCACACUGGAACUGAGACACGGUCCAGACUCCUACGGGAGGCAGCAGUAGGGAAUCGUCCGCAAGGGGCGAAAGCGUGACGGAGCAACGCCGCGUGAGUGAUGAAGGUCUGCGGAUCGUAAAACUCUGUUAUUAGGGAAGAAAAAAUGUGUAAGUAACUAUGCACGUCUAGACGGUACCUAAUCAGAAAGCCACGGCUAACUACG
RNAcentral lists this ribosomal RNA (495 nucleotides) under uncultured bacterium. RNAcentral's name for it is "partial 16S ribosomal RNA". It matches the Rfam family "Bacterial small subunit ribosomal RNA", at positions 28 to 505 of the family's 1533-position model. The record is from RNAcentral.